Molecule: microRNA, 23 nt
Filed under: Parasteatoda tepidariorum (common house spider)
Lineage: Eukaryota; Metazoa; Arthropoda; Arachnida; Araneae; Theridiidae
Description: pte-miR-35h-5p
Gene: pte-miR-35h-5p
Source: miRBase by way of RNAcentral
CAAAAUUUUUCGUUGCGGUGGUU